RNAcentral lists this ribosomal RNA (253 nucleotides) under uncultured bacterium. Its description in RNAcentral is "partial 16S ribosomal RNA". It matches the Rfam family "Bacterial small subunit ribosomal RNA", at positions 524 to 776 of the family's 1533-position model. The record is from RNAcentral.
UACAGAGGUCCCAAGCGUUGUUCGGAUUCACUGGGCGUAAAGGGUGCGUAGGUGGUGAGGUAAGUCGGAUGUGAAAUCUCCAAGCUCAACUUGGAAACUGCAUUGGAAACUACCUUGCUUGAGGGUUUGAGGGGGGAUUGGAAUACUUGGUGUAGCAGUGAAAUGCGUAGAUAUCAAGUGGAACACCAGUGGCGAAGGCGAGUCUCUGGACAUUUCCUGACGCUGAGGCACGAAAGCCAGGGGAGCAAACAGG